ACCCGGAAACUAAUCCCAUCACCAUAAAACCCAAGACUGCAAGCCAGAGCCAGAGCUAUUCUCCAGGGUUCCCUUACUCCUGCUCUCCACCGGGGCGCCCUUUCCUGAUAAAAUCUCUCGCUCUGUCAGCACAUGUGUCUCCUCAGGCAAUUCAUUUCCAAGUGUUAGACAAGAGCCCAGUUUCGGGCCCUGGAAGGGGUCCCCCUUCCUGCAACAGACCUAACCAAGUCUGGAGUUGAGGAUUCCCUAAUAAAGAGACUCUUAAGUUGAAGCCUAAAGAAAGAACAGCUUUUAAGCUGGUGCAGAAAGGAUAGAGAAAGACAGCUGAGGGGAAGAGUGGUAUACACUUGAGAAAUGGAGAUUAAAUAUAACGCAGCUGGAAAAAGUAAGCGAUGAAGCUGAAGAGAAGGCCAAGGGACUCUCAAGAGUCUUCCCACUGCUCUGCGAGGCUUGUAGUAAGGAGAACAGGGGAGAGAUGCUGUGGAAAACAAACAAGAGGACGUGCUGAUCCCCCAGAGUCCUUGCAGUUUCAAGAAUCUGAAGAGGCUCUGGAUGGGAAUGCCUUACCCUUCCCUGAAAAUAUGUCUGUGCCUGCCAGUAGGAGCUGACACAUUGCCCUGGUAUUCCUUUCCCAUCUCUGUAAGGCAAAAGGGUGCUAGUAAAUCAUGUGGACAAGCCUCAGAUAAGCUGGUAUUUGUUUUUGGGACAUUUUUCAAGCCUGGGGCCAAGACUGUACAACAGUAAGUUCAUUUCAAUGGAGUUCCUGGAGAGAGGGUUCCAGAUGUAGUCUGGACUGCCGUUCCGAAGUCCAGCAAAGUUGAGGAGAAGGAAGUCUUCAAAGCCCACUGCUCAGAGAACAGCUGCGCCCACUGAAGCAAGAGGCUGCUCUCCCCAACAAUGGGGGUGCCGCGGCGGGGGAGGUGGGAGUUGCUUGGUAAACUGGAGCGGCAGAAGUGCCAGCCUGGGCCACCCCCAGCAGAAUAUAAUCUCCAUGAACGAGGGCAGAGGCCUCUUCUGGUUUUGCUCACAAUGUCUCCAGCAUCUAUGUGCACAAGUUAUAAUUACUGUUCAGUAAAUAUUUGUGGGAUGCAUGAAUGAAGGAGGCAGAAAGACUGGGCACCACAAAAAUCCUUUUGAAUAAAAAGGGGAGUUUUGGAAAGGGUUACAUCUGCUCCUGUCAUGUUAAGUUUUCCUAGGAGAUGUUUCUAAUUCUACUGAAACUCCAGGUUGCUGUGGCCUGGAGAAGAAAAUGAGUCUCUAAAGUCUUUUUUUUCUGCUAUAUAUGACAAAGCAAAAGGGGGGAGGGCUUCAAUAAAAAAUUAUGGGGCCUAGUGUGAGCCAAAUAUGAUGCUAGACAGGAGAUGAAAAACUAAGAUAAAGACUCCUGGACACAGAGCUAUAU
Molecule: non-coding RNA, 1402 nt
Organism: Odocoileus virginianus texanus
Lineage: Eukaryota; Metazoa; Chordata; Mammalia; Artiodactyla; Cervidae
Source: RefSeq, a predicted model, not a curated record